GGCGCCGAUCUCGCAAAUGAUUAAACCUUAACCCUCGGGCCCUUAGAGUCCCAAACGAGAGUGAGAGGAGAUCUGAGAAAAUGAGAGAUGACAAACACAGAGGUGGUCUGGAAACCCUAACAAUGGCAUUGGCUCUGUGAUAGGAGCCUUCGCUGGAGAUCAGAGACAUGAGCGUGAAGAAAGAGAGAGACGACACGACGGGGCAUGAAGAAAAGCUCCUCCAAUGCGAUUCUUGUUUUGCGAGGUUUAACGCCUCGAUGGCCGCCAUUGAUCCACGAUCGGAUCCGUUCAAGAUCUCACCGUUGAAAUCGCGUAGUAAUUAACACCAAGACCAGAGAUCUGAUGGGGCUAGGUACACUCCCUGGCAGCUUGUUCAAGAUGCGAUAGGGUGCGAUGUGGAUUAAUAGAGGCACUGACAGCGGGCCUUCCAUAUCUUUAAGGAUAUCUAAAACCAGAGGCUACCAAGAUUUUGACUCAAAUUUCCUUUUCGUUUUUUUUGUGACUAAUUUGAUAUAAUUUCAAUCAAAAAAGAAGUCUGUAUAGUAUCAGUUCUUUUAUUUGAGUGCUGCGGAUUGUAGUAAUUACAAGCAAACCACAUCAACUUCUUUAUGGUAGCAAGCUAUGUAAAACAGUCAAAGCCUCCAGAUGUAGACAUCGAAGAACCAACCCAGCUCUCCCAUCUUUACCCAUGAAACUCUCCAACCAGCCAGUCGAAAUCGAACCAGACGCCUCUCAAGAAGAAACAGCUGCUAGUUACAUCCGAAGGAAAGAGAGGGCAAAAAAGGGAAAACACAAAACAAUCAGCUAAGAGCAAAACCGUGAUUUCACUGUGAUGAUGAGAAAAAUGAGUUUGCAAAACAGUAAAAAGAAAGGUAUUUUCGUCAUUUCACUGUGCUUAGCUACAGUGUUUAGUUGCAUUGGGUUUUAGUAUAUAUAGAAUUUGUGUGCAUGGUUUUCCUUUUCUUU
Molecule: long non-coding RNA, 966 nt
Organism: Prunus persica (peach)
Lineage: Eukaryota; Viridiplantae; Streptophyta; Magnoliopsida; Rosales; Rosaceae
Exons: 3
Source: RefSeq, a predicted model, not a curated record